CCUACGGGAGGCAGCAGUGAGGAAUAUUGGUCAAUGGACGAGAGUCUGAACCAGCCAAGUAGCGUGAAGGAUGACUGCCCUAUGGGUUGUAAACUUCUUUUAUAUGGGAAUAAAAUGUUCCACGUGUGCCUUUUUGUAUGUACCUUAUGAAUAAGGCUCGGCUAACUCCGUGCCAGCAGCCGCGGUAAUACGGAGGAUCCGAGCGUUAUCCGGAUUUAUUGGGGUUAAAGGGAGCGUAGUUGGGUUGUUAAGUCAGUUGUGAAAGUUUGCGGCUCAACCGUAAAAUUGCAGUUGAAACUGGCAGGCUUGAGUACAGUAGAGGUGGGCGGAAUUCGUGGUGUAGCGGUGAAAUGCAUAGAUAUCACGCAGAACACCGAUUGCGAAGGCAGCAUAC
This 394-nucleotide ribosomal RNA is filed under the name uncultured bacterium. RNAcentral describes it as "partial 16S ribosomal RNA". It matches the Rfam family "Bacterial small subunit ribosomal RNA", at positions 338 to 729 of the family's 1533-position model. The record is from RNAcentral.